RNAcentral lists this ribosomal RNA (1392 nucleotides) under uncultured bacterium. RNAcentral describes it as "bacterial SSU rRNA". It matches the Rfam family "Bacterial small subunit ribosomal RNA". The record is from RNAcentral.
AGAGUUUGAUUCUGGCUCAGAAUGAACGCUGGCGGCAUGGAUUGGGCAUGCAAGUCGAACGGGUUCCCUUGGGAACUAGUGGCGUAAGGGUGAGUAACACGUGAGUAACCUGCCCCUGAAUCUGGAAUAAACCAGGGAAACUUGGUCUAAAACCGGAUGUCGGCACCGCACCUCCUGGUGCUUUGCUGAAAUAUUCAUAGUUCGGGGAUGGGCUCGCGUCCCAUUAGCUAGUUGGUAGGGUAACGGCUUACCAAGGCGAUGAUGGGUACGGGGCGUGAGAGCGUGACCCCGAUCACUGGGACUGAGACACUGCCCAGACGCCUACGGGCGGCUGCAGUCGAGAAUCUUCGGCAAUGGACGGAAGUCUGACCGAGCGACGCCGCGUGUAUGAUGAAGGUCUUCGGAUUGUAAAAUACUGUCGAUAGGGCGGAAAUUUAGGAGGGCUAUCCCUCUUAUUUGACCUAUCUUUUGAGGAAGGACGGGCUAAGUUCGUGCCAGCAGCCGCGGUAAGACGAACUGUUCUAACGUUAUUCGGAAUCACUGGGCUUAAAGGGCGCGUAGGCUGUUUGUUAAGCGGGGUCUGAAAUCCCUCGGCUCAACCGAGGAACUGGACUUCGAACUGGCAGACUAGAGUGAAGUAGGGGUAAGCGGAACUUGCGGUGGAGCGGUGAAAUGCUUUGAUAUCGCAAGGAACACCGGCGGCGAAGGCGGCUUACUGGGCUUCAACUGACGCUUAAGCGCGAAAGCUAGGGUAGCGAAAGGGAUUAGAUACCCCGGUAGUCCUAGCCGUAAACUCUGGGCGCUUGUUCGAGGGAGUUUUUUCUUUCUCGAGCGUAGCGAAAGUAUAAAGCGCUCCGCCUGGGGAGUAUGGUCGCAAGGCUGAAACUCAAAGGAAUUGACGGGGGCUCACACAAGCGGUGGAGGAUGUGGCUUAAUUCGAGGCUACGCGAAGAACCUUAUCCUAGGCUUGACAUGCAUGGAUACCCUCCCUGAAAGGGGAGUAAGUUGCUAGCAAUAGUGAAACUUGCACAGGUGCUGCAUGGCUGUCGUCAGCUCGUGUCGUGAGACGUCGGGUUAAGUCCCUUAACGAGCGAAACCCCUAUCGUUAGUUGCCAUCAUUUAGUUGGGCACUUUAGCGAGACUGCCUAAGUUAAUGCGGAGGAAGGCGGGGAGGACGUCAAGUCCUCAUGGCCCUUAUGCCUAGGGCUGCACACGUCCUACAAUGGAUUCCACAAAGGGAAGCGACACUGUGAAGUCGAGCAAAUCCCCAAAAAGGAUCCUCAGUUCGGAUUGUAGUCUGCAACUCGACUACAUGAAGCCGGAAUCGCUAGUAAUCGCGGGUCAGCAUACCGCGGUGAAUAAGGUCCUGAGCCUUGCACACACCGCCCGUCA